Small RNA from Flavobacterium sp., 78 nucleotides. It matches the Rfam family "Flavo-1 RNA". NCBI's taxonomy places the organism in Bacteria, Pseudomonadati, Bacteroidota, Flavobacteriia, Flavobacteriales, Flavobacteriaceae. The record is from Rfam.
CCCUAGCCCAGGUAGUAGCGGCAUCCUUUUUGUUUUUUCUUUAAAAACAAAAAGAUAUAGCGGAUAACUGGAAGUAGC